Molecule: ribosomal RNA, 433 nt
Filed under: uncultured bacterium
Lineage: Bacteria
Description: partial 16S ribosomal RNA
Rfam family: Bacterial small subunit ribosomal RNA
Source: RNAcentral
AACGAACGCUGGCGGCAGGCCUAACACAUGCAAGUCGAGCGGACCCUUCGGGGUUAGCGGCGGACGGGUGAGUAACGCGUGGGAACGUGCCCUUUGCUUCGGAAUAGCCCUGGGAAACUGGGAGUAAUACCGGAUACGCCCUUUUGGGGAAAGAUUUAUCGGCGAAGGAUCGGCCCGCGUUGGAUUAGGUAGUUGGUGGGGUAAUGGCCUACCAAGCCGACGAUCCAUAGCUGGUUUGAGAGGAUGAUCAGCCACACUGGGACUGAGACACGGCCCAGACUCCUACGGGAGGCAGCAGUGGGGAAUCUUAGACAAGGGGGGAAACCCUGAUCUAGCCAUGCCGCGUGAGCGAUGAAGGCCUUAGGGUUGUAAAGCUCUUUCACCGGGGAAGAUAAUGACGGUACCCGGAGAAGAAGCCCCGGCUAACUCCGUG